This 197-nucleotide ribosomal RNA is filed under the name uncultured bacterium. Its description in RNAcentral is "partial 16S ribosomal RNA". It matches the Rfam family "Bacterial small subunit ribosomal RNA", at positions 328 to 539 of the family's 1533-position model. The record is from RNAcentral.
ACGCUCGACACCUACGGGAGACAGCAGUGGGGAAUAUUGCACAAUGGGGGAAACCCUGAUGCAGCAACGCCGCGUGAGCGAAGAAGUAUUUCGGUAUGUAAAGCUCUAUCAGCAGGGAAGAAAGUGACGGUACCUGAGUAAGAAGCCCCGGCUAACUACGUGCCACAGCCGCGGUAAUCUGAGCGGGCUGGCAAGGC